ACCUCCUCCGCCUCCUUCUCCGGCUCCGGACCUCCGCCUCGGCCUGCGCCUGCCCAAAAGCGUCGCUGGCCAUCUGCCUCUAUCAUCUCGGUCUCGUUCCCGAGCGGCACCAGGCUCCCCGCCGCUGACCGGGCGUUGUCCCUGACGCUGGCCCGCUCGGUCGCGAGGGAGAUCUCGGCGGACUUGGGCGGGGUCGACGGCGCGGCGAAGAAGGAGAGGCCUGCUGCAUUUUCUCUCUCUUUUUUUCAAUGGAGCGCGCGCUAUUUCUUCCCGCUUCUGCCUCUCUCUUCCUCAAGCACUCCUCUCCUCUCUGUCCCGAGCCCUCUCACUCACUCCAAGCGCCCCUUCUUCCUCUGUCUCGAGCCCUCUCACUCACCCUAAGCGCUUCCCUCCUCGCCUCUGUCCUCGUCGCCGUCAUCGACUUUCCAGCCGCGGCUCCAGAAAUCGCCGGCUGCCGACUGGCCUCUCGAACUUCUUUGUCUUUUACUCCUUAUUCGGUCCCGAUUUCGGGCUCGAGUACGUAGCCAAGGAUUUUGAAGGAAAAGGGGUUUGCGAGGCUAGAUAUACUGGUGGCGGACGGCGAGAGCACGAUCGACCUGAGUCGUUACUCUUUGCUCGGUGAUUUCAGGCUCGACGUCGAAGCAGAGAAGGAGGAAGAACAAGAACGAGAUGAAGGAGAAGAAGGAGAAGAUGGGUCCUUGCUUUUCUACUUCUGGGUUUAUCUCUUGAAGUCCGCCACUUUCCCUUGUACCAUUUUCCGUCAGGUCUCAAGUGAACUUUUACGGCUUCACAACUUUUACGGCUUCACAUUGACGGGGAAGUGGUGGAUGAGAAGCCCCUAAGUGCCUCAAAAGAUGGAGAAUCUAGGCCUUUAAGGAAAAUAUUUGAGAAUCUAGGCCUUUAAGGAAAAUAAGUUUGGUUAGUACCAGUGGAACUGAUGAUGGCAUAAAAGGUUAUUUAUACAGUCCAAAGGUCUUGCACCCUUCUUCAUCCAUUGAGGAUCAUUAUAAGGACUCACCUGUACACUUAGCUAUUGACAAUUCAUCUGCUUCUGACAUAGAAGAAGGUAGUGAUGGUAUCUGGAGUACUGUGGGUGGAAAGGCUAAGGAUAGUUUCGGGACUCGCCCAGACGUGAUAUUGAAGAAUAUUGAAACUGCAGAGAAACUUUUUUCAGAUUCUGAACGUACUAAAAUGCGAAAUUCAAAUUCCAAGAGUAUGCCAAGUGUUGGAAAAGCAGUUCCAGAUUCUUUCACAUUUAGUUACUGCUUGGCAGGCCCACAUGAGAGGGCUCUUCUGCUGAAGAAGUUUGCAGCAUCUGCUUCAG
Molecule: long non-coding RNA, 1324 nt
Organism: Eucalyptus grandis
Lineage: Eukaryota; Viridiplantae; Streptophyta; Magnoliopsida; Myrtales; Myrtaceae
Exons: 4
Source: RefSeq, a predicted model, not a curated record